This 1352-nucleotide long non-coding RNA is filed under the name Chrysolophus pictus (golden pheasant). RNAcentral describes it as "lncRNA (ENSCPIG00010009400.1)". Lineage: Eukaryota; Metazoa; Chordata; Aves; Galliformes; Phasianidae. The record is from RNAcentral.
CAAUGCAUUCAGUGUUUGCAUUGCAAUGUGUUCUGGGUGUGCAAUGCAAUCAGUUCUGGGUGUGCAAUGCAAUGCAAUCUGUGCUGUGUUUGCAUUGCAUUCAAUGAUUGCAAUGCAAUCAGUUCUGAGUGUGCAAUGCAUUCAGUGAUUGCAAUGCAAUCUGUGCUGUGUUUGCAUUGCAAUCUGUGCUGGGUUUGCAAUGCAAUGCAAUGCAAUGUGUUCUGGGUGUGCUUUGCAAUGCAAUCUGUGCUGUGUUUGCAAUACAAUGUGUUUACUAUGUGCAAUGCAAUGCAAUCGGUUCUGUGUUUGCAAUGCAAUGCGUUCUGGGUGUGCAAUGCAAUGCAAUCUAAUCGGUAUUUGCAAUGCAAUGCACUCAGUGUUUGCAAUGCAAUCUGUGCUGGGUGUGCAAUGCAAUGCAAUGCAAUGUGUUCUGUGUUUGCAAUGCAACGCAUUCAGUGUUUGCAUUGCAAUCAGUUCUGGGUGUGCAAUGCAAUCUGUUUUGGCUUUGCAAUGCAAUCAUUUCUGGGUGUGCAAUGCAAUGCAUUCUGUCUUUGCAAUGCAAUGUGUUCUGGGUGUGCAAUGCAAUGUGUUCUGUGUGUGCAUUGGAAUGCAAUCUGGUCAGUCCUUGCAAUGCAACCUGUUUGGUGCUUGCAAUGCAAUGCAAUCUGUUGGAUAUUUGCAAUGCAAUUCAAUCUUUUGGGUAUUUGCACUGCAAUCUGUUGGGUACUUGCACUGCAAUGCAAACUGUUGCAUAUUUGCACUGCAACCUACUUGGAAUUAGCAAUCCAAAGCAAUCAGUUUGGUGUUUGCAUUGCAACCUGCUUGGAAUUUGCAACGCAAUGCAACCUGUUUUGUAUUUGCAAUGCAAUGCAAUCUGGUGUUUGCAAUGCAAUCUCCUCAGUAUUUGCAAUGCAAUGUGUUCAACGUGUGCCAAGCAAUGCAAUCUGUUCUGUAUUUGCAACGCAACUGCAAAAUGCAAAGCAACGUGCUCCAGAUUUGCACUGCACUGCAACGCAGUCAGCAUUCGCCUUGCAAAGUGUUUGGCGUUUGCCUUGCAAAGCAAUGCAACCACUUUGGGGUUUACAAUGCAGUUGCACGCUGCAAUGUGUUGUGCAUGUGCAAUGCCAUGCAAUCAGUUUGGUGUUUGUAAUGCAAAGCAAUCAGUUUGGUGUUUGCAAUGCAACCUGCUUGGUGUUUGCACUGCCAUGCAAAGCAUUCCCUACAUGCAUUGCAAUGCAUUGUAAUGCAAUGCAACGAGUUCCGUGUUUGCAAUGCAGUGCAUUUGACAUUUGCAAUGGAAUGCAAACUGUUCACUGCUUGCAAUGCAAUGCAACCUGGUUGCUGUUUGCAAU